UGAAGCCAUGCCUGGUUGAGGGUCA
This 25-nucleotide ribosomal RNA is filed under the name Macrobiotus polonicus. RNAcentral describes it as "partial 5.8S ribosomal RNA". Lineage: Eukaryota; Metazoa; Tardigrada; Eutardigrada; Parachela; Macrobiotidae. The record is from RNAcentral.